This 465-nucleotide ribosomal RNA is filed under the name Vreelandella stevensii. RNAcentral's name for it is "partial 16S ribosomal RNA". It matches the Rfam family "Bacterial small subunit ribosomal RNA", at positions 338 to 795 of the family's 1533-position model. Lineage: Bacteria; Pseudomonadati; Pseudomonadota; Gammaproteobacteria; Oceanospirillales; Halomonadaceae. The record is from RNAcentral.
CCUACGGGAGGCAGCAGUGGGGAAUAUUGGACAAUGGGGGGAACCCUGAUCCAGCCAUGCCGCGUGUGUGAAGAAGGCCCUCGGGUUGUAAAGCACUUUCAGUGAGGAAGAACGCCUGGUGGUUAAUACCCAUCAGGAAAGACAUCACUCACAGAAGAAGCACCGGCUAACUCCGUGCCAGCAGCCGCGGUAAUACGGAGGGUGCGAGCGUUAAUCGGAAUUACUGGGCGUAAAGCGCGCGUAGGUGGCUUGAUAAGCCGGUUGUGAAAGCCCCGGGCUCAACCUGGGAACGGCAUCCGGAACUGUCAAGCUAGAGUGCAGGAGAGGAAAGUAGAAUUCCCGGUGUAGCGGUGAAAUGCGUAGAGAUCGGGAGGAAUACCAGUGGCGAAGGCGGCCUUCUGGACUGACACUGACACUGAGGUGCGAAAGCGUGGGUAGCAAACAGGAUUAGAUACCCUAGUAGUC